RNAcentral lists this long non-coding RNA (856 nucleotides) under Rattus norvegicus (Norway rat). RNAcentral's name for it is "long non-coding RNA NONRATT007421". Lineage: Eukaryota; Metazoa; Chordata; Mammalia; Rodentia; Muridae. The record is from RNAcentral.
UAGGAAGCCAGACCUAGGAAGGUGAAGCCUGGCUGAUCCCUGCAAAGGUACCCCUACGCUGCCACUUAGGAACCUUUAUUUUGAGUGUUCCAGGACCCAAAUGGUUCCCAUGGCAAACCCAGUAUCUACCUUGGAUUUUCCGAUCUGAAAUACCUCUUUCUUGGAGACUUUGAACCUGGUCUCUGGAAACUCAGAGUCUGUAUGAAGUGCUAUUGUUUCUGAGUUCUCUUCGCUUUUGUGUUGGCUUUGGGAUUCUCUUGUCUACCUGGAUAAUGGUCUGCCUUUGUGGCUGAGUCUUCCCGGCGUCAGUGGAUCACAGGCAGCCCGAGGCAUCAGCCUCCGGACUUAACAGCCUUCGGAUUCCUUGAGCCUAGGAGUUACUCUGGGCUGCAGAAGAGGACCCAACUCCUAACUAGCUUCGGAUGCUAGCUCUGAGAAACUCUUCAACACUGUUCUUGUAAACAAAGAUCCAGAGUUAGGUGUUGGCGCACUGCCUGAACACAACCAAGAUGCGGGACCAAUUGUCCCCAAGAUCUCGGGUCUAGAGAGAAGCCAGGAGAAGAGCCAGGACUGUUGCAAAGAGCCAGUCUUCGAACCUGUGGUGCUCAAAGACCCACAUCCUCAGCUCCCCCAGCUACCAUCCCAGCCCCAGGCCGAGCCCCAGCUCCAGAUUCCGUCUCCAGACCCGAACUUGGUACCCCGCACUGAAGCUCCGCCCCAGUUCCCUCCUCCGAGUACACAGCCCGCCCCAGGACCCCCAGAAGCCCAGCUGCAGCCCGCCCCGCUGCCUCAGGUGCAGCGGCCACCCAGGCCGCAGUCUCCCAGCCACCUGCUCCAGCAGACCCUUCCGCCUGUG